RNAcentral lists this ribosomal RNA (467 nucleotides) under uncultured bacterium. Its description in RNAcentral is "partial 16S ribosomal RNA". It matches the Rfam family "Bacterial small subunit ribosomal RNA", at positions 28 to 507 of the family's 1533-position model. The record is from RNAcentral.
GAUGAACGCUGACAGAAUGCUUAACACAUGCAAGUCGACUUGAAUUUGGGUUUUUAACUUUGGUUUGGGUGGCGGACGGGUGAGUAACGCGUAAAGAACUUGCCUCACAGCUAGGGACAACAUUUGUAAACGAAUGCUAAUACCUAAUAUUAUGAUAAUAGGGCAUCCUAUAAUUAUGAAAGCUAUAAGCGCUGUGAGAGAGCUUUGCGUCACAUUAGCUAGUUGGCGAGGUAACGUCUCACGAAGGCGAUGAUGGGUAGCCAGCCUGAGAGGGUGACCGGCCACAAGCGCACACAGACGCGACCAUUACGCAUUAGGGGGGCAGGAGUGGAAACUAUAGGCAGCUGGACCGAGUGUGUGAUGAAGGAAUUCUGUGUGUAAGAUGAAGUUUGUCGGAAUGAAAAGCAGUUUCAGUUGGGAAGAAACAAAUGACGGUACCAACAGAAGAAGCGACGGCUAACUACGUG